This 1363-nucleotide ribosomal RNA is filed under the name uncultured organism. RNAcentral describes it as "partial 16S ribosomal RNA". It matches the Rfam family "Bacterial small subunit ribosomal RNA". The record is from RNAcentral.
UGCAAGUCGAGCGAUGAGGCUCCCUUCGGAGGGUUCUCCGGGGAAGGGGGGAGUAACACGUGUGUGACUUGCCCCCCAGAUGGGGAUAUCCUCUGGGAAAGGGGGCUAUUACCCCGUGUGCACUUGGUCUCGGUUCAUCACGUAAAGCGGCUCCGCUUCUCUGGAAGCCUGCUGCCCAUCAUCUAGUUGUUGGGGUAACAACCUACCAAGGCAGAGACGGGUAGGGGGCGUGAGAGAGCGUACCCCCACACUGGGACUGUGAUACGGGCCCCACUCCUCUACGAGGGGCCACUAAGGGAAAUUGUGCACUGUGCAAAAAAGUCAGAUGCAGACACCCCGCGUGCAAUAAAAGCCUUCUCGUUGUGUAGACUUUUUUUGGGGGAAAAGAGGAAGGACGGUACCCCUGGAAUAAGUGUCGGCUAACUACGUGCCAGCAGCCGCGGUAAGACGUAGGACACAAGCGUUAUCCGGAUUCACUGGGCGUAAAGAGUCUUGAGGCGGUUCCGUAAGUUGGGCGUGAAAGCUCCGGGCUUAACUCGGAGAUGUCGUUCAAUACUGCGUGUCUUGAGGACAGUCAGAGGAAGAGUGGAAUUCCCGGAGUAGUGGUGAAAUGCGUAGAUAUCGGGAGGAACACCCAUGGCGAAGGCAGCCUUCUGGGGCUGAUCCUGACGCUGAGAGACGAAAGCUAGGGGAGCGAACGAGGAUUAGAUGACCCCUGGUAGUCCUAGCUCCUAAACGAUGGAUGCUGGGAUGUGGGGGCUUUACAUCCCUCUGGAAAGAAGCAAAUGCAUCAUGCAUCCCGAGUACUGCCGUCGCAAGCAAGAUAUAUCAAUCGAAUGGAUGGGCCGGCGCCCGCACAAGCAGGGGAGUGUUUUAUUUAGUUGGUUCCCACAGAACGAACCUUACGUGGGUCAUAUAUGCGCGAGUUAGGGGAAUGAAAGGCGACCCAUCGUCGGGAGUAGACACAUGUCGCACAUCUCUCUUCUCAUCGUGUACUGUGAGGUCUGGGUUAAAGCCGUAUAGAGAGCACACCUCUUCCUCUGAUAUACAUGUCUGAAGGGACACUCCCCGCUACACCGGGGGGGAGGGGGGGGGUGACGACAUCUCCACAUCCCCUUUAUAUCCGGGGCCACACACGCGCCACAAUCCCGUGUAAAAUGCGUUGAGAAGUCGAGAGGGAGAGACUGUCCUCAAAGCCGGUCUCAGUUCGAAUUGCAGUCUGCAACUCGCCUGCAUGAAGCUGGAGUUGCUAGUAAUCGCAGGUCAGCCAUACUGCGGUGAAUACGUUCCCGGGGUUUGUACACACCGCCCGUCACGUCAUGGGAGUCGAUAACGCCUGAAGCCGGUGACCUAGCUCGAAAGG